UCGGGGACACGGGGCAACGUCUGGGGCUUCUGUGGUUGUCACGACUAGGGGAGCUCCUGGUGUGGAGUGGGCGGAGGCCAGGGACACUGCUCAGCACCCAGCAGUGCCCAGGACGGCCCCACCCCAGGGAAUGAUCAGCUCUGAGGCCCACCGUGCCGAGGGUCCAGGAUCCAAAGAGCAGGCAGUGAUGUUUUUACCCCUUUCCAAGUUCUGGAUAAUUUUCCCAAACCUGAGGAUGAAACGAGAGAAGGCACAUAAGCUGCCUAGCAAGGUGACUGCACAUGGUGAGGGGUCUCACGUGUCGUCUGCACGCGGUGAGGGUCUCACGUGUCGUCUGCACGCGGUGAGGGUCACACGUGUCGUCUGCACGCGGUGAGGGUCACACGUGUCGUCUGCACGCGGUGAGGGGUCACGCGUCGUCUGCACGCGGUGAGGGGUCAUGCGUGUUGGCUGUUCCCCUUUCCUUUGGCAAAUGUGGACUGAGUGCUGCUGUGCCUUAUGCUCGUGUCGGGGAUACCACAGCUCCAGGGUGUCCCUGACAUGAUGUUCCCGGCCCUGCGCUCUCCAGAGCUGAGACUCACCCCAUGGAGCAGUGGCCACUGGGCCUGUCCCCUCCAGACUGCUCCGCGCAAUACAAAGUGGCAGUGGGUAGCUUCCAAACCCAGGCCAUGAAAAGGAGGUGGCCCAGGGAGGCAGGUGCAGCUGGCAGCCCAGGUGGGCCCCAGCCUCCUGGUCUUAGAGCAGACUCCCAGAUGUCAUGGAGCAGGGGCACCAUCCCUGGUCUGCCCGAGUUCCUUCCUGACUGAGGCUUUCUCAUCGACAAGCAUUGGGGUGGGUGCCUAGUCUGAGUCCUGCAAGGCUUGCCCUUGGAGGACUUCCUGGAAGAGGAGGCCAGAGGACAAAAGGGUUGUGAAGCCCCAGAGCAGAAAGGACUCAGCCCCAAAAUUCCAAGGAGGCCUGUGGGUCACAGGACUGUAAGAG
RNAcentral lists this long non-coding RNA (981 nucleotides) under Homo sapiens (human). Its description in RNAcentral is "HSALNT0254005". Lineage: Eukaryota; Metazoa; Chordata; Mammalia; Primates; Hominidae. The record is from RNAcentral.